Molecule: long non-coding RNA, 12652 nt
Organism: Chroicocephalus ridibundus (black-headed gull)
Lineage: Eukaryota; Metazoa; Chordata; Aves; Charadriiformes; Laridae
Exons: 3
Source: RefSeq, a predicted model, not a curated record
GUGAGCAUUUCUGCUGCUGCUCGUGGCCCAGGUACAGAACCCGGGACAGCUGAAGGUAUUUCAGGGUGCUGACCUCUAAGGACGUGGUUUCAGGAGGAUGGAGCGUUGCAGUCCUGCUGUGUCAGCGCAUUUACUACCUGCCCCUGCCUCUGCACGGUACCCAGGACCUCCCUAAACACUUGGGGCUCUCGCCAUGUGCUGCGGGAGCAUCUCCUUCCUGUGGGAGAUGCUCCCGUGGGGGAGCUCCCGUGGGAGCAGGACUCUCCUCAUGCCUGCCUUAGGGACCUGACACAGUCCCAGCUGAGAGACGCGGAGGGGCAGGAGGCUGCGACUGGCAAACUCAGAGAAGGCUACUACAGCCCAAGGCUUCCCAGCGAUACGUGCCCUGGAGACCACGAGAGAAGAGCGAGGUGCACCAGGGGCAGCUGGCAGAAUCACGGAAUCACGGAAUCUUCAGAGUUGGAAGGGACCUCUAGAGAUCAUCUAGUCCAACUCCCCUGCUAGAGCAGGAUUGCCUAAACCACAUCCCUCAGGGCUGCAUCCAGGCGGGUCUUGAAAAUCUCCAGAGAAGGGGACUCCACAACCUCCCUGGGCAGCCUGUUCCAGUGCUCUGUCACCCUCACUGUAAAGAAGUUUUUCCGUGUAUUUGAACGGAACUUCCUAUGUUCCAGCUUGUGCCCAUUGCCCCUUGUCCUGUCGCUGGGAACCAUUGAAAAGAGCCUGGCUCCGUCCUCCUUAAACCCACCCUUUAGGUACUUGUAAACAUUAAUCAGGUCCCCCCUCAACCUUCUCUUCUCUUCUCUGCAGAAGGCACUACGAAAGCCCUGGGCUCAGCUCUUCCCUCUGGAGAAGGCUGGCUGCGGCGCGGGCCGUACACCCCAAGGUGAGGGUGCCCGGGAACAGGCGCUCGGGUAGGUUUGUGGUGCCAGGGGCUUGUCCAGCACAGCACGGCCGCUGUACGGACCCGCAUGUCCCCGGCCAUCCCCACCAGCAGAAGGCCACCAGCACCGGAGAGCUGCAGAGACGAUCCACAUGGUGACGAGAGCCCGGACAGCCAGCUUAAAUGGCCACAGCCCACGCUGGGCCGGGGGUCAAGGUUAACGGGCCCAGGACUAAAUGCAAACUGACGUUCACGAAGGGUUCCUGCAGCGUCCUGGAAAUGCGCAGAGACGUGGCUGGGUCACCGCUGACAGGCAAAGCUUUACAGAUCAAAAGCCCAAGGCAGGAAAGAGCCUGACCUCCGUGAGUCGGGGCUGGGGCUGGGAGGGCAGAGGGCGGUGGGAGCCGGCCGUAAUCCCCGCCUUCACACAGCAGCCUGGCUUCUCGCAGCCGCAGGAAUGCAGAGGAGGAAGGAUGCUGGUGGUCCUUCCCACCCCCUGGCAGGCAGUCAAUACUCUGCUGCUGCCUCUGCAGCGUUAUCUAGUGCCUGUUUGCCCUUGGAGUGGGAGGGAACAGGGAGGAGAGCUGUAGCAGAGGGGCAAGAGAGUAUUUACAGGGCGUCCGUCUGGCAGCCUGAGCCCCUUGACUCCCCCCCGUGCUGCUGUUGUCUGCAGGCACCGUGUGGUUAGGGCACUGCAAAGGCCGUAUGGGCGAGUGCCGGAAUGUGUUACGCAGGACAGAAGGGAUAAAUGGCACUGGGUGUCCACCAGCUCUUGCCCCCGUGCUUUGCCUCGUCUCCGAGCGGGAGGCGGGAGCAGCAUCCACCACCGCGCUGCUCCGAAACAGCCCCAGCAGGAGCAAACUGGGGUUUAUUCCCGCAGUUGGAAGCGAUGGUGGGGCUGUGGCAGGGACGCCAUCCCCCGGGAGCUGUCAGACAGACAAAGGGACGGCGUGACGCUGCCCGGGAUCCGUCCGGAGGGGCCGCAGCUGAGCGAGCGGGGCUGCGCAGGCAGCCUCCCCUCCACCAAGCCUUCAACCGCAUGCAUCGCCGCGGCGUUUGCGCGGCAAGACAGACUAAACCUCCCGAAAUAAACCUCCCAAAGCGCACCUUGUGGAAACGCGGGGGCCUCAGCAUCGCCUGUUUGGAUUGACGGAGCUCUUUCGACCGUGUGGGAUGCCGUGCUGGCGUGGGCGCGCUGCUUACAGCGCUGCCGAGACUAGGGAAAACAGAACAAAUGUGCUGAUCCAGAUUUGCAGCUCGGGCGUAGCGGGCUGUAAGAACAAGGUUGGUUACAGUCGGGGGAAUCUACAGUGCCCGCUCCCACAAGACCCCCCCAGGUAAGGGAAGGAGGCCGCGAAACUCAAAAUUGCCCCUGCGAAGAGGCAGCUGUAUCAUACAUGGGCUUCCCUCUGCUUUCCACAAGCCACAGCCAGGUGACACCAGGUUGAAGCUGCAGCGCCAGAAAAGCAGCUGGUGUUUGGGGUUACACAAAAGCGACGGGAUCUUUCUUGAAAGCUUCUGGUUCUGGUUUUAUGAGCUUGUUUAUUUUCUGCGCUGAAGGGAAAUGUCAUUGCCAACCCCCCCCCCCCACCCCCCCUGCUCUCCUCAGUAUAGCUCUGGCUAUAGCUGGGAGCCUGCGGUACGAAAAUAACGGUGUUGGAAUGAAAGUAAUUUGUGCCCAGCUGCUUCCACAACAGCCAAAAAAGAAUAAAAUGAAAAAAAAAACCAAACCAAACAUGUAGCAGCCAAAAAACACGUAUUGUGCCGGAGUGAGCAGGAGCAGAGCUCCGAUGCAGACCUUGCCGGAGCGGAGCUAGACACAGAAAUGUGCAUUUCUGCUAGAAGCAAAUGAAAACUGAAACGUAGCUGCUGCCAUGGCUGAACCGAACCCAAAACAUGCAUCUGCCGCACUCCCAUACAACCCAGACAUCGACUGUUGGAAGCCUUCUUUGAAGGCUUGGGCUUGUGCCUUCGGAGUGGGAUCGAAUUCUGGGCAAACGAGUGUCCCCGUCCCCUUCUCUCCCCCUCCUGCGAGGGCUGCGCUUUGCAGUCACCAUUCAGCACGCAGCUUAAUACGCUGGCACUCGCUGCUCCACCAGCUUGCUUGACUAUAAAGAGUAUUUGGACUCCCACAGUCGUUCAUUUAACCAGACUUUUCAAAGGAGUCCCUCUCCCUCCCUCUCCUUCUCUGCAGAGGAAUAAACAAGAUAAAACAGGAAGCAAAAUCAAAAGAAGUAGAGAAAAGGCAAAAAAUAAAAAAAAAAAAAAUCGAAGGAGGAAAGGAGAGCCACAGCCACAGAACAGAGCAAAUAAAACCAUUGUUGGGUCCCUACUUCUCCAAACCGAGCCAGCAGCCUGCCUGGGAGCACUUGGAGAGGUUUCUUUUUCGUAUCUGUGAGGGAGUAGGUGGCUCCAGCACACAAGGAGGGCAGGAACGGUACCGACCGCGAGCUGGACGGCCCUGUGCUCAGGUGGGGAGGGGGGUCAGCUUAGGAGAUGGGAUACGCCAGACUCCUGCAUCGCCAACGCAGGGAAUCAAGGUCCCCGAAAGAGUGACUCAAAUCACCAAAACUACCUUCUGGUCAAAUCCCAGCCCAGAGAGCUCUUGGUCAACUGGGAGCGUUGGACCCUGUGAGAGCUGGCUGUACUUACCUGGGGUGAACACUCCGCUGCCUCUACGAAUGCCAGCUGAUAGAGUCACAGAAUGGGUUGGGUGGGAAGGGGCCUCUAAAGGCCAUCUAGUCCAACCCCCUGCAGUGAGGAGGGACAUCUGUAACUGGAUCAGGUCGCUCAGAGCCUCAUCCAGCCUGGCCUUGGAUGUCUCCAGGGAUGGGGCCUCCACCCCCUCUCUGGGCAACCUGGGCCAGUGUCUCACCACCCUCAGUGGAAAGAACUUCUUCCUAAUGGCUCAUCUAAACCCGCCCUGCUCUAGUUUAAACCGUUGCCCCUCGUCCUAUCGCUACAUGCCCUUGCAAACAGCCGCUUCCCAUCUCUCCUGGAGCCCCUUUAGGGACUGGAAGGGGCUCCAAGGUCUCCCCGGAGCCUUCUCUUCCCCAGGCUGAACCCCCCCAGCUCUCUCAGCCUGUCCCCACAGCAGAGGGGCUCCAGCCCUCGGAUCAUCUCCGGGGCCUCCUCUGGCCCCGCUCCAACAGCUCCGUGUCCUUCCUGUGCUGAGGGCUCCGGAGCUGGACACAGUACCCCAGUUGGGGUCUCCCCAGAGCGGAGCAGAGGGGCAGAAUCAUCUCUCUCGAUCUGCCAGCCACAGUCCUUUUGAUGCAGCCCAGCUUCACACCUUGCCCGCUCCACGGUGCAAACCUGUGACUCUCGGCACAGAAGAGGAGCAGCUGCCCCCGGUGCUGGCUGCAGGACAUGGCCACCGGCCACCUGGGGGGCUCCCGACAUGGGCAGGCUGCUUCGGCAGAUGAGCCAGCUCAGAAAAGAGAGAAACAAACCCAAGCAGAUGGAAGGAGCGGAACUGACACAUGAAAGACAUCGCAAGCGAGGAGGACUUGAGGCCUCUAAUUAGUGCCUGCAGAAAAAUUAAUGAGCAACUCUGCCAGUGCAGGUGUCUCGCCUAAAAAAGCGUUCCAUCCCCAUGAGGUAUGAUGAGCAGAUAGCUGACUGGGACAGACAGCCCUGUCAGUCUGGGUCACGACAGAAAAACGCUCUGCUCCCGAGAGCAGUAACUUGCUAAUUCUCGUAAAGCCCAGACCUCUCCCAGGAGAGCUCUGCACCAGCUGCGGCCGCAAGGCCGGUGCCCCGCCAUGGGAGCUGCAGCUUCUGGGGAGGGACGCAGGUGCCGGCGCACCCGUAGGCAAUGCCCCGCUGGGGGAGGACGUGUUCUGGGAAAGACGAGGUCUGACGCCAGGGCUGCACGGAUCCGCGGGCUGGGGGCACGGAGGGGUGACUCAAGCAAGAACCGGCAGAGCAGCUGCUGCUGGAUCCCGCACGUCCGUGACUGACUGCGAUAAUUGCAGGGCCACGGAGGAGCGGGUGCCUCUUGCCAGCCUGCGUUAGUAACCUGUGUCCUCGGCUGCCUGCCUGUCUCCGCAGGAGGUCUGUUUUCCUGUUGGGGUGAUUUCUGGAUAUCUAGGAGUAAAUUAACUUCCUCACAAUAUAUGUUUAUACCCUAUGUACGUAACUCUCUCAUUACUCUCGUCAUUAGGAUCUUACUACAGGGAAUAGUCGCAUCUCAGAAACUAAGGCCAAUUAGGUCUGCUAAAGAAAAGGGAAGCCCCUGCCUAUAGGAAAGGAGAGGACAUCUAUACCAACAAAUACCCCCUAACCAUUAACAUUCCAUUAUUAAGACCACCUGAGAAGCAAAUGGAUUCCUUGCUCCUCAUUAUGUAUCACUACCUUAUGUGACUGAGCAUCAAUAUUGAUCUCUGGGAUUUUCACAGUCCCGAGCCUGUAAAUGAAUGGGUGUGUGCAUCUGUAUACAUGGGAACGGGUCCUUUCCCCAAAGGCAAUCCUCUUGUAUAAAUGUGUAGAGACUUGGAGGAAUUUUGGACUGUGUUAACAGAACCCUGAGCGUCUGGUCUUUCUCGAUGGACCUGGGUGAAUGUUCUCCUCUGGUGUUUUCUGUGUCAGCACAGAGAUGGAUCCUUUAAUUUGCUCUUGGAGCUGUUGGAACACAGGCAAGUCAAAGGUGCUUAACGCCGCCAAGCAAAGGAGGGGCGUUUUGGCACGUACCGAGGGAUGAAGAAGUAGACGCAGAGAGAAAUCUGAUUUCAGGUCAUGACCGUGUGUAUGGCAGAGCCAGGGAAAGAAACUCUGUCCCCAGAGCCAGCCCUCCCCAGUCUAGCACAGAAACUCCCCGGGGUUUCUCACUCCUGCCUCCGGCUGAGCCCGGACCGUGUGCCCAGACCCCAGCAGGUACCAGUUCCCAGCCGGGCAACCCAGCCUGAGACGGGUGGAUUUUAGGCUGGUGGUGGCGGUGCUUGUCGGGGAGCCCUGAGCUCUACCCAGCUGGCCGUAGACGUUCUUUGGAGCGCAGACCGGGCGCUGGGGUGGCACCGCUCCUCCUGCAGGACUUCUGCAGGGCUGGAAGCCCGCGGCUCGCCCCAGGGACAGACCCAACGCAGGUUCACGGGGUUUCAUCACCGAAGCACUUUUACCAGGCACAGAACGUGUCGCUUCUCUCGUCUCACACUAUAAGAUUGGCAGGUGUAUAAGUUGUUAAUUCUUGAAAGUAACGGGAAGCCCGACGUGAGAAAGCCGGGAGCGGAGAGCUGCCUGGGUCCCUCCUGUGCAGAGCCCAGCGCACCCCCUCCGGAUACCAGGCGUCGGGCCGCGGCUGGGCGAAGGCUGCCGAGUGAUGCCGAGUGAUGCCGCACGCUGAGAAAAGCGCGUUUGUGGCUGCUGGACUCCUUCACAACAGCACCAUUGUUUGCAGCCCCCAAGCCCAGGCUGCCGUAGCUAAUUAGCAUGUAGAAAUCAGCAUUCUUGCUCUACCCCUCGCCUCACCCAGGGAAGAGGGACACACUGCAAAAGCAGCUUCCCAAUGCUGCGCCUGCCCCCAGGAGGGAACCAGGCCUUUUCUCGCCACGUUUGUGCGGGGUUUCUUGGAUUUUUACCCCGCAUGCAACACAGGAGCUCCUUAGGCGGCACUGGGAGCAGGUUGAUGAGGACAAGCUGCUGGUGCAUCCGCGACAGGGGACCACAGAGCUGCUCCCCAGACACUUGACCCAGACCGUGGAUUACAAACGGGAACCUCCAGCCCUUGUUUUCCCGUCGUCAGUCCACUACUCUUGACACCCCAGCUCUUAUCGGGCAGCAGAAGGGCUGCUAUAGCCUGCCCAAAUAUGUCUCUCUUUUAUCCUAACUGGAUUCUGCUUAUUUAGCCUCUGCUGGGGAUGCUGAGAUCCCCAAAGGGUUGAUAACGCCUCCCAGCACCUAUAGAGGCUUCCCAUUGGAUUCAGAAGCUGGCAAAGUCACAAGAAAAGCACACCUGCGUGUUUCCAUGGGAUUUCUACUUCCUAGAAAGACUGAAAACAGGGAAUGUAGGAAGAAAACGGGGUUUUUUUCUUCCAAAAAGAGACGCUCCUAAACCUCCACAAACUACUAAGAAACUUGAUCUGACACAAUGUGGAAAUUGAAAACCAUUAUUGGAUUAUAAAGACACCGUGCGCGAGUCACCAAGAACGAUACUACCAGAAAAUGCUAAUAAAUGGUAGGGACAUUAUUCCUUUGGUGAAUUACUGAAGCGUUUUGAAGGAAAACACUAAAAAAACCCUCUGAUUGUGUAACGUAUUUCUGAGGCUCAAAACGCCGCGCUGUUUCUUGGUACAACGCAGGACAGUUCCAGGCCCCACGUGGCUGAUGAACAGGCCAAAACCGGUAUAUUCGCUUUCGGAAACCAACCUGAAUUUUACCAUUAAUUUCAGUCAGGCCUAAGAACGAUCCCACGUGCCCAGGGUGCGAUGUCUCCCACUGCAGCCGACUCCGCGGCAAGGAAACGGCAGGGGUUUGCCUGGAGUUGAACUGCCACUGUUCAACUGCAACUCUGCUUUAAAUGCCAAAUAUCAUGGGGUUAAUAGGUCGGUAUCUGCGAUUAUCUGACACGAAUACGCAAAAUACAGCUCCAAAAAUCAUUUAGGACUGUAACGUACUGGAAAUAUUUUUCUCAUGUGAGAUUUCACUAUUUCCACAGUCUUGGGAAAAGGUGAUAUUGUAAAGACACUGAUUCAACAAUCGGGGCUCGUUAAAAGAUGUCUCUCCCAUUUUCAACGGGUUACUUUGUUUUUAAGAGUUCUGGACACUUGCUGAAAGAGAUUAUAAAUAGACCAGGUUCUUUGACGUCGAGGUUAAGUGCAGUUAAUGAAUAAUUGCGUUCCGUGGUAGUAAUAGGUUUUAUCUGCAGGGCCCCAGUUACUUGAUAAUUUCUUGUAUGGCAACAUUUUUCUGGCUCGCAUCUAGAAUGCGAAUUUAAAUGCCAGAGCAGCCCUUGAGCUGCCACACGCGCUCGGAUUCAUUCCCUGUCUGUGCACCCAGCGCAACUUAUCCCGUGCAAUUAAUUGUACAGGAUUUCAGUUUGGCCACAAAAGCCCUGCAAGUGAUUUCUGCACCGGGAAAAGCGGAGGAAAAAAAAUAAAUCAAUUCUCCGUGGUUAGCCUGGAGGGGAGCGAACGUGACGUUAAGGUUUGCUUUGAUAAUUCCACGUUACUCUGUCUGGAAGCCCGCUGAGACCUCGUCUACCUGUGAAGUCCGUCACCAAGAGACUCAGAGCGAACCUGUCCUGAGCUUCAUCAGGACUCCAAGUGUUCCUCAAGGACAAGUUUACGGUCUCUGUAAUGAGCUCAGGUGAUCUUUACUUCUGAAAAGAAAGAAGAAAGAAAAUGACAAGUCAAAGAAAAGAGCAUGAGGCUCAUGAACUUUACGCCCCUUUAUGAAGGGGUAUAAAGAAGUCUUUCCAGACUUGACCACUGCGUUAGGCUCCCGUCGCAUUGGAAGGAGAGGCUACGGUGGGAUGGCCGAGACGCAGCGCGCCGAACGCCUCUUUGAACGUGAAACAUCUUUGUGCUUUCUGACAGCGAAGCGCAACUCACAUCAAAGCCUCUUCGAACGGAAACCUGUCACAGCUCACACGCAGCCAAAGGGAAUCGUCCCUCCGACACCGCACGCGCAGCUCUUUCUCACAGGCUUUGUUUCAGGCGUGCCGUUCUUUCCGUACAAGAAGGCGUUUGCCUUCGGUAUAUUUUGUAAUGUUUAUAUCCACUUCCAGACUGUUUAGACCUCCACCCUUCCAGGAAUGAAAUGAGAUCAUUUGCUCCAAAACCGUCAGCCUCCCAUCUUUUGCUCUGAUUCGACCUUGCAAUCUCCGAACUCUGUUAUUUAAUAACGUGUUUUUCAGCAGCGGCAGUAUGAGCAGAUGCCCACACACUUCUGGAUACAGGCAUUGCUGGAAGUUUGGUUUUAUUAGUCCAAUUAUUACAAUACCUGGACAAAUCAGUUUUGUUAAGCGGAGCGCCGGUUUUUCAAUUUUUGCAGGGCAAAGUGUGUAUAUUUCGUAAAAGCACAUUAUUGUUAUUUCUUUGGAACCGUGUGGUCUCCCGAGCGCAGUCGUGUGCGUUGACCUUUCCCCUUCGGUGUGUUUAACACUUCUCACGGCUGUUCUACCUCUAUGAGCCAUUCUGCCUUUUUUUUUUUUUUUUUUUUUUGAGCACUACCGCACUUUUGAAUUAAACAUUAUCGAUUUUUAAAUAUGCAAAGUCUCCAGGUUCCCUUAAGCUAAGACAUCUGAAAAACCAUCGCGUUUUCAGCGGCCGCCGGGCUCCUGCUUUGCAAAGGAACAGUUUGGUUCAGAAUUGGGCUCCGCUUUGCCACGUUGCAAGGAGUUGGGUCAGGAAACGUCGCGUUUCAGCUCUGCCCUUUGCUCACCGAAUGAUCCCGUUUUCCCUCGGAUGGGGCCUUAUCUCGGUGUGUACGAGUUGACACCACAGUGCUGUUCAACAGACAGACAUCCAGCGCUUUUCCAAAGGGUAACCAGACUGGAAACGGUGAAUUCCCGUAAGCGUUUGAAAGAAUCAACGCAGAGACAGCAAAACAAACCAUCCAGCACAGAACAGAGAUGCUUCGUGCUCAGCUGCCCCUGGGCUCACCAGCGAGAAACAGAUAAUUACCAACAAUCUUUGUUUCUAUAUAAUAUUUCUACAAGUAACAGGAGAAAAUAACCCCUGACAAUCCGUUCCCCUGUUAGCGCGUCUGCUCCUUUAGGAGCCAACUUCUCCCGUGCCCACAUUGUCUGACUUCAAAACCUGUAUAUCUCCUUUUUUCCCUUACAUUUUAAGACACACUAGAUGAAUCGCAAAUGCAAACAUUAACGGCGGACAAAAAAAAUAAUCAGGGUUUGCAAUUGCAGCUAUUAUUUUUUAUUUAUUCUUUCAGGUUUUUUUUUUACCCCCUUUAUGCGUUUGUUGUCAUAAGAGCUUUAUGAAGAAAUCGGAUACUCGUGCUUGUAGUCUUUGGAAGCACUCCAACUGAGCGUCAAUCUGAUUAUUUAGUGCUGUGCCUGCACCAGAAAUUAGCACAAGAACAUGCAAUCUGUUGUAUUUCAAAAAGGAAAAAAGAAAAAGUUAGAUAUGAUACAUAUAUGGGAAAAUGUAUGUACCUUUUCGUAAGCUGCCUUUGGAACUGAACCAAGCAAAUAACACCGGGGGGUUUCCAUUAGCUCUUAGAUUGGAUGGCUCCUAGCAAUGUUUAUUUAAUAUCUAUUGGAAAAAAAGUAAUCGUAUUUUGAGGCGACUUUGCAUGAUCUCUUCUGUUUAGUAAAUAUUUGCCUUAAAACACAUUUAACAAGACUCUUUUCCAAGAUGAUCAAUCUGUGUUUUGACUCACUGAUGGAGGCAAACUUGAAAGUGCUCCCAGCCCGGAUCACAAGCACAAGAGGAACCCCAGAGCCCCCCGCAGAAGAGACCCCAAGGAGACAGGAGCCAAGCACGCCCCAGGUCGCCAAACUGGGCAGAUGUCGUGGUUUACCUCCUGCCGGCAACUGAGCACCACGCGGUGGGAUGUGGAGGAGAAUGGGAAGAAAGAGUUGAAAAGUCCUCCCCCCACCCCCGCAGGGAUAAAGCCGGUUUCAGCAUGAGAUAAAAUUUCAGGAACUUGCCUGAGACCUUUGGAAAGCGCCCAGGAAGAGCGGUAUAACAACCUGAGCGGCGUCCCAGGGAAUCGUGUUCUUCGCAAGACUAAUCUCAUUUUACUCACAGCUCGUACGACCCACCUGGGUGCAGCCGGUACGCUCGGCCGUGCCAGGCGUGUCUCCGCUCCGCGCAGAGCCGCCUCUUCGAAAUCCCAGGGAACAGGUGGGACCAGGGCCUUUCCUUGUACCCGCCGUGCUCACCAGCAGCGCGGAUGUUUCCCCGCUGCGUAGACACUCCUGCACGUCUGCUCCCAGCGCGAAAUCUCAACGACUUGCCUGCAAUUCAUUAAACCAAGAGAUGCGGUAUUGGAUCCGACAAUCAGGAAUAAUGCCGUGAUUGCUUUCAUACAGUAGCAUGGAAGUGAGCUAAAUCAAAGAGGAUUCGGUGAUCCCUGAGAUAAUUACUGAGUAUACCGAACAGAGUACUGUUUACCUACAUAUUAAUGUGUCUACCCAUAUAUUUAUCUGUGAGAUUAUCAAACACUCUCGCGCUGCCCUCUGCUUCUCCUAGGUUUGUGCCUGAUGGUUAAUGUCUGCUCAUUAUGCAGCUUCUCAAGCCGGGCUUUUACCUUUCCACCCGGCCUACCCUAGGACUUAAUUCUGGGGCUAAGGUCCCUAAUUAGCCAGCAGUAAUUUGCUAUUUACAUUAAAAAUGCCUAAUACUCUAUCAGAAAGACAACGUUUCUAUUCCAUUCUAGGGGUACGAAAGCUCUGCCAGCAAAGAUGGGCAUUGCUGAGGUUCCCACUCUCACAAUUCAUUUCACAGAAUCCCAGCCUGGCCGGGGUGGGAAGGGCCCUCUGGAGAUCACCCCCUCCAACCCCCGGCCAGAGCAGGGUCACCCAGAGCAGGUGGCACAGGAACGCGGCCAGGCGGGGUCGGAAUGUCUCCAGAGACGGAGACUCCCCCACCUCUCUGGGCAGCCUGUGCCAGGGCUCUGCCACCCUCACAGCAAAGAAGUUCCUCCUCCUGUUGAGAUGGAACUUCCCAGGGGCAAGUUUGUGCCCGUUACCCCUUGUCCUGUCCCCGGGCACCACUGAGAAGAGCCUGGCCCCAUCCUCCUGACACCCCCCUUGAAGUAUUUAUCAGCAUUGAUAAGAUCCCCCCUCGGUCGCCUUUUUUCCAGGCUGAAGAGACCCAAAUCCCUCAGCCUUUCUCCAUCAGAGAGGUGUUCCAGUCCCCUCAGCAUCUCGGUGGCCCUUUGCUGUCCCCUCUCCAGCGGUUCCCCGUCCUUCUGGAACCGGGGAGCUCAGAACUGGACACAGUGCUCCAGCUGUGCCCUCUUUCAUGGGCUCUUUGAGUGCUGGGGCGGUUUUCACUGCCUUUAUCCCUGCAGCCAGCGCUCGCACUUGUGGAAAAGCAAUUUCAGAGAUAGGGACCCAGCUGCCACCCACAAGAGCAGGGGGGAUGGUGCCUUGCUUUGCUGCAGAAGAUGAUUCUCCAGACUUUGCCAGAAGUGACGGUUCCCGGAGCUGUCGUGAUUUCAGCGCUCCUGUUGUGGCACCUUUUUGGCCCUCAGUUAUCCGUCUCUCCUGUAGAAGGUGUCAGAAUGAGACCCCUUCCCCUGGAAACCCCUGUCACUUCGGUAAUAAAUAAGCAAAGCUUAUCAGUAACAGACUUCCUACUGAUUACUUCUCCAAAAUUAUCCAGAUAACGAUCAGUCAGCCCUCUUAAGACUGGAAAGGUAGAUUGUGGUGAAUGGGCUUGUGCCCUUCUCUGCUGAGGUGUUUGUUUGUUUUCCGUCCACCGAAGAGGUAUCUCCACACUGGAGCUGGAACCACAAAAGAGUUUAUUAUCCCAGAGCAACAGAGGGAGCUGGAGAGAAGACUCUAAGCCAGUCAACAGGUCAAACCAACUUGUGGAAACGUACAUGCCACCCUGGUUGGGUGAGUCUAGGGAAGGAAGGGGAUGUUUUAUCAAUGCACCGUUCCCAUAAAGCCCUCAAAAUCCCCAUCUCUAAGACGUGGCAGAGAACCAUUGAUCUGAGGUGAAAAUCGAACCGCAAGUGAACCGCUUGUCUUUCCCAUGUGUUGACUCCGACCCCAGCUGAUUUCUCCAACUGUCACUUAAUUAAUCAUCUUAUUUCAUUUAAUCAAUCAGGCCAUUGUGAUUAAUUGAAAUGCAUGUAUGCAAA